Molecule: long non-coding RNA, 2230 nt
Organism: Daphnia pulicaria
Lineage: Eukaryota; Metazoa; Arthropoda; Branchiopoda; Diplostraca; Daphniidae
Exons: 5
Source: RefSeq, a predicted model, not a curated record
UUGAAGCGUAUAUUACGCAAAUAGUGUGAUUUUGCUUGACUGACACCGCUGUCACAGACCAGCCAGAUAUUAGGAAGCAGACGAAAUCAACUUUUCUUUUCUAACAACAAUAGAUAGAUGCGCCAUGGCCAGAGACACAAAUCAAAUCAAUAGAUAGAUUCUUCUGCUCUUUGCUCUGUGCAAAUACUCUUAUGUGAUAUGGAAUUUCAAGAAAAGUAAAAUCGUAAUUCUAAAGUGAUUGUUUUGUGCAUUUACACCACACACCACAUAAUAACUUCAACUUUGCUUUUACGUGUUUGGCGAUAGGGAUUCAAGUAUAGGAAGCGAUUUGUUCAUUUGUGAGAAGGAGAAUUGACAAUUGUUCUACAGGAAUGUAGUGGUACGUUGUUUUCCCCAUUACAAAUUCCCUGAUGCCACAGCUUGCACAACCAACCAACAGUGCAUUGGUGUUAAAAAACUGCUGAAAUCUAUCAACUAUUUCUCCUUUAUCCUCAUUUCUAAGAUUAUCCUUUAGUUCAUGAAGCAAUUGUUCAGUGACUUUCGGUGCCAUACCACUGCUGUAAAGAUUUCGAGUUGCCGAAAACCUUCCCAGUCCAGAAUUAGUUGCCAAAGCCAUAAGUGCAGUUAUUGGGUUUUUUUCAAAAUCAGCUAGUUGAUUAGCUGUUGGCGGUUCUUUCAAGUCCAGACUAAUCGUAUUUUCAGUUAAAAACUCCUCUGAUGAUUCCAAUAGAGAUAAUUCUCCUCCUGUUGCUACUUCAGUUAUAAUUUCAAUCACCAGAGCAUUGCUGUCCAUGUCUUGAACUUCUGAGGAUUCAUUUUGAAACUGCAAGCACAAUUAAAAUGGACUUUAUUGCUUUCUUAUCAUCAGAAUACUAACAAACAGACUAAUAUAUUUGGAAUCCUACCUCAAUUUCUAUGUCCACAUCAAUCAAUUGUUCUUCAGAUGGCGCCAAAUCAUUUGCAGAAAACAACUGCAUUAAUUGCGAAUUUAAGUAUUGUACGUUUUCAAAAUAAACCACAAAUUGGUUACCGAUAUUCGAUUUUCUUCCACUAAAUCAAAAUCUAAACGGCUGCAUUCCUCGCUUGCCGCCCUUUUCUGCGCCUUAUUAAUAAUCUUCUGCCUGUCUGGUGUGAAAGUACUUUUUUUCUUGCCUCUUUUCGGCAUUUUGAAUGAUUUCGCUCGUAAUGCUCAUGCGGAACUAAACAAAUUCCUACCUCAAUUUCUAACAAAUUUAUUAGUCCGUGUCAGAGGUACGCCAUCUAGCAGAUAAAUCCAUAAUAUAUGAAUGGAAUCACCAUUCCUAGAUGGCGUGUAAGUUUCGAGUUUGCUUCUUGAUGUUGUUUUUAAGUCUAGAAUUUGGUGUUACUUGGUGUUACGAAUUUCGUGAUACAGAUAUAUCGGCCGAAAUAUAGGUUUUCGAAAUGGCGAAGGCGUCCAUCGCCACACAGUGUUUCAGACCUAAUUCAUGAUAAUAGAGUAAGAUCAUUCGCAUUUGAUUUCAUCACUAGUUUUUAGCCCUUGGUACUUUUUUCCCCCCUUCGAGCUGUGGUCGUGUGAUUUAUAAGUUCUGAAAAUUAUCUAAUGCAUAUUAUCUCACCAGCACGCCGGCCCGCUUUUCAGAUUGUAUCGUCCACCUUCUUUCCUUAUGGGAAAACAAGGUCCAGAAAUGUACUGGAAGACUUUGAAUCCAGGCCAGCAGCUGCAAAUAUCAAGGUGCUGUUCUUAAGCUUUGAAGACAUUUUAAAAGCUCUUCAAACAACUGCAUCCGAGUCAUUGAACACAAGGCAACUUCACUAUCACAACAAUGAAAACAAUGUGGUCAAUGUUGCGAGAAACAUUUUUAUUAUGAAGAUUCGUUGAUGGGUGGCCUUGCUGGCCAACAAUUUGUGUUUAAGCGUGUCACUGGACCAACGACUGAUCCUCUGGAAACGAGAAGACACUCGACUUAGAUGGCUCUCGCCCGUUUGCUGCGACAUAUCCGACAUUCAAGGUCUGGACGUGUCUGUGGGUGCCUCCAAAACUUCUUUGCCCAAAAUCCUGGUUUACGGUCAAGGUAUUCAAAUCUUUGAAGUGGACAACUUGUUCAACAUCACCGAACAUCACUCACAAAAUAGACUAUUCAUCUGUCGACCCGUUAUCCGACUAAGGUAAAAAGAAAAAUACAAAAUAUAUUUUGCAUGGCGCGCUCGUUGGGUAACAACUUUUUGAGUUGUCUUAUCUCUUUUGAAA